UGGGGAAUAUUGGACAAUGGGGGAAACCCUGAUCCAGCAAUGCCGCGUGAGUGAAGAAGGCCUUAGGGUUGUAAAGCUCUUUCGCCCGCGAAGAUAAUGACGGUAGCGGGAGAAGAAGCCCCGGCUAACUCCGUGCCAGCAGCCGCGGUAAUACGUAGGGUGCGAGCGUUAAUCGGAAUUACUGGGCGUAAAGCGUGCGCAGGCGGUUUCGUAAGACAGAGGUGAAAUCCCCGGGCUCAACCUGGGAAUGGCCUUUGUGACUGCGAGGCUAGAGUGUGACAGAGGGGGGUAGAAUUCCACGUGUAGCAGUGAAAUGCGUAGAGAUGAGGAGGAAUACCGAUGGCGAAGGCAGCCCCCUAGGUUACUACUGACGCUCAUGCACGAAAGCGUGGGGAGCAAACA
Molecule: ribosomal RNA, 402 nt
Filed under: uncultured bacterium
Lineage: Bacteria
Description: bacterial SSU rRNA
Rfam family: Bacterial small subunit ribosomal RNA
Source: RNAcentral